AGGGUUUGAUCCUGGCUCAGAACGAACGUUGGCGGCGUGGUUGAGGCAUGCAAGUCGCACGAGAAAUCCGGCUUCGGCUGGAGAGUACAGUGGCGAAAGGGUGAGUAACACGAGGUCAAUCUGCCCUUGGGACGGGGGAUAACGGCUGGAAACGGCCGCUAAUACCCCGUACGACCGCGGGCCCGCAUGGGUCUGUGGUGAUAGGAGGGGAUCCUUCGGGACCUUUCGGCCAAGGAGGAGAUCGCGGCCCAUCAGCUAGUUGGCGGGGUGACGGCCCACCAAGGCAACGACGGGUAACCGGCCUGAGAGGGUAUACGGUCACAUGGGGACUGAGACACUGCCCUGACUCCUACGGGAGGCUGCAGUUCGGAAUAAUUGUCAAUGCGCGAAAGCGUGAACAUGCGACGCCGCGUGCGGGAUGAAGGCCCUAUGGGUCGUAAACCGCUGUCGGGAGUUAAAAAGUACGGGUGCGCUAACAUCGCAUCUGAUUGAUGAAGACUCCAAAGGAAGCACCGGCUAAUUCCGUGCCAGCAGCCGCGGUAAGACGGAGGGUGCAAACGUUGUUCGGUGUCACUGGGCUUAAAGGGUGUGUAGGCGGCUCGGUCAGUGUGAGGUGAAAUCCCUUGGCUUAACCAGGGAAUGGCUUUGCAUACAGCCGAGCUUGAGGACCACAGAGGAGAGCGGAACGUUGCAAGUAGGGGUGAAAUCCGUAGAUAUGCGACGGAAGACCGGUGGCGAAGGCGGCUCUCUGGGUGGUUUCUGACGCUGAGACACGAAAGCGUGGGGAGCGAACGGGAUUAGAUACCCCGGUAGUCCACGCCGUAAACGAUGAGCACUAAGUAGGGGGAAUUCCAACAUUCUCUCUGCCGAAGCAAAAGCACUAAGUGCUCCGCCUGGGGAGUAUGCUCGCAAGGGUAAAACUCAAAGGAAUUGACGGGGGCUCACACAAGCGGUGGAGCAUGUUGCUUAAUUCGACGCGAAGAACCUUACCCGGGUUUGACAUGCACGGAUUAGCGCCGUGAAAGCGGCGUGACGCCUUAACCGGUGGAACGUGUGCAGGUGUUGCAUGGCUGUCGUCAGCUCGUGUCGUGAGAUGUCGGGUUAAGUCCCUUAACGAGCGAAACCCCUGUUCUUAGUUGCUAGCGGUUUUUCCGCGCACUCUAGGGAGACUGCCCGUGUAAACGGGAGGAAGGUGGGGAUGACGUCAAGUCAUCAUGGCCCUUAUAUCCGGGGCUGCAAACGUGCUACAAUGGUCGAUACAAAGAGACGCAAGACCGCGAGGUGGAGCAAAUCUUAAAAAUCGGCCCCAGUUCGGAUUGGAGGCUGCAAUUCGCCUCCAUGAAGUCGGAAUCGCUAGUAAUCGCGUAUCAGCUACGACGCGGUGAAUACGUUCCUGAGCCUUGUACACACCGCCCGUCAAGCCACGAAAGUCGGAGGCACCUUAAGUCCGCCCAGUCAACCCCUCACGGGGAGACGGGCGCCCACGGUGAAGCCGAUGAUCGGGACUAAGUCGUAACAAGGUA
This 1523-nucleotide ribosomal RNA is filed under the name metagenome. RNAcentral's name for it is "bacterial SSU rRNA". It matches the Rfam family "Bacterial small subunit ribosomal RNA". The record is from RNAcentral.